CCGGAAUUAUUGGGCGUAAAGGGCGCGUAGGCGGCUUUUUAAGUCUGGAGUGAAAGUCCUGUUUUCAAGAUGGGAAUUGCUUUGGAUACUGGAGAGCUUGAGUGCGGGAGAGGUUAUCGGAAUUCCCGGUGUAGCGGUGAAAUGCGUAGAGAUCGGGAGGAACACCAGUGGCGAAGGCGGGUAACUGGACCGCAACUGACGCUGAAGCGCGAAAGUGUGGGGAGCAAACAGGAUUAGAUACCCUGGUAGUCCACACUGUAAACGAUGAAUGCUAGGUGUAGGAGGUAUCGACCCCUUCUGUGCCGGAGUCAACACAAUAAGCAUUCCGCCUGGGGAGUACGGCCGCAAGGUUGAAACUCAAAGGAAUUGACGGGGGCCCGCACAAGCAGCGGAGCAUGUGGAUUAAUUCGACGCAACGCGAAGAACCUUACCAGGUCUUGACAUCCAGUAAAGCCUGUAGAGAUACAGAGUCCCUUCGGGGGUACUGAGACAGGUGGUGCAUGGUUGUCGUCAGCUCGUGUCGUGAGAUGUUGGGUUAAGUCCCGCAACGAGCGCAACCCUUGCCGAUAGUUACUAACGGGUAAAGCCGAGGACUCUAUUGGGACUGCCGGGGACAACUCGGAGGAAGGGUGGGGACGACGUCAAAUCAUCAUGCCCCUUAUGACCUGGGGCUUCACACGUGCUACAAUGGGCGGAAAACGAAGGAGGAGCGGAAUCGCGCAAUGGAGGGAGCCAGAUCUCAAAAACCUCGGGUCUCAGGUCCGGAUUGUGGGCUGGCAAUCUCGCCUCACCAUUGGAUGUCGGGAGUUGGCUAGUAAUCGGCGGAAUCGAC
This 832-nucleotide ribosomal RNA is filed under the name uncultured bacterium. RNAcentral's name for it is "bacterial SSU rRNA". It matches the Rfam family "Bacterial small subunit ribosomal RNA", at positions 545 to 1355 of the family's 1533-position model. The record is from RNAcentral.